CCUACGGGGGGCAGCAGUGGGGAAUAUUGCGCAAUGGGCGAAAGCCUGACGCAGCGACGCCGCGUGAGGGAUGAAGGUCUUCGGAGCGUAAACCUCUGUCAGCAGGGAAGAACGGUCACGGUGCUAAGCAGCAGUGAAUGGACGGUACCUGCAAAGGAAGCACCGGCUACCUCCGUGCCAGCAGCCGCGGUACGACGGAGGGUGCGAGCGUUAAUCGGAAUUACUGGGCGUAAAGCGCUCGUAGGCGGUAUGUCACGGCAAGGGUGAAAUCCCCGCGCUCAACGUGGGAACUGCCUUUGAAACUGGCAAACUGGCGUGUGUGAGAGGAUAGUGGAAUUCCCGGUGU
This 346-nucleotide ribosomal RNA is filed under the name uncultured bacterium. Its description in RNAcentral is "partial 16S ribosomal RNA". It matches the Rfam family "Bacterial small subunit ribosomal RNA", at positions 338 to 676 of the family's 1533-position model. The record is from RNAcentral.